GCCGUCAGGUCCUCGGCCAGCACCCGGCCGCUCGCGGCGGCCAGCGCGACCGGCUCGGUCCCGGUCGGCGGCA
This 73-nucleotide transfer RNA is filed under the name Pseudonocardia autotrophica. Its description in RNAcentral is "tRNA-Ala". Lineage: Bacteria; Bacillati; Actinomycetota; Actinomycetes; Pseudonocardiales; Pseudonocardiaceae. RNAcentral also lists the same sequence under 1 other name. The record is from RNAcentral.